This 501-nucleotide ribosomal RNA is filed under the name Escherichia coli. Its description in RNAcentral is "bacterial LSU rRNA". It matches the Rfam family "Bacterial large subunit ribosomal RNA", at positions 1383 to 1869 of the family's 2925-position model. Lineage: Bacteria; Pseudomonadati; Pseudomonadota; Gammaproteobacteria; Enterobacterales; Enterobacteriaceae. The record is from RNAcentral.
GUCGACCCCUAAGGCGAGGCCGAAAGGCGUAGUCGAUGGGAAACAGGUUAAUAUUCCUGUACUUGGUGUUACUGCGAAGGGGGGACGGAGAAGGCUAUGUUGGCCGGGCGACGGUUGUCCCGGUUUAAGCGUGUAGGCUGGUUUUCCAGGCAAAUCCGGAAAAUCAAGGCUGAGGCGUGAUGACGAGGCACUACGGUGCUGAAGCAACAAAUGCCCUGCUUCCAGGAAAAGCCUCUAAGCAUCAGGUAACAUCAAAUCGUACCCCAAACCGACACAGGUGGUCAGGUAGAGAAUACCAAGGCGCUUGAGAGAACUCGGGUGAAGGAACUAGGCAAAAUGGUGCCGUAACUUCGGGAGAAGGCACGCUGAUAUGUAGGUGAAGUCCCUCGCGGAUGGAGCUGAAAUCAGUCGAAGAUACCAGCUGGCUGCAACUGUUUAUUAAAAACACAGCACUGUGCAAACACGAAAGUGGACGUAUACGGUGUGACGCCUGCCCGGUGC